RNAcentral lists this ribosomal RNA (460 nucleotides) under uncultured bacterium. Its description in RNAcentral is "partial 16S ribosomal RNA". It matches the Rfam family "Bacterial small subunit ribosomal RNA", at positions 338 to 795 of the family's 1533-position model. The record is from RNAcentral.
CCUACGGUGUGCAGCAGUGAGGAAUAUUGGUCAAUGGACGAGAGUCUGAACCAGCCAAGUAGCGUGAAGGAUGACUGCCCUAUGGGUUGUACCCUUCUUUUAUAUGGGAAUACAAUGUUCCCCGUGUGGGAUUUUGUAUGUACCAUAUGAAUACGGAUCGGCUAACUCCGUGCCAGCAGCCGCGGUAAUACGGAGGAUCCGAGCGUUAUCCGGAUUUCUUGGGUUUAACGGGAGCGUAGGUGGAUUGUUAAGUCAGUUGUGAAAGUUUGCGGCUUAACCGUAAAAUUGCAGUUGAAACUGGCAGUCUUGAGUACAGUAGAGGUGGGCGGAAUGCGUGGUGUAGCGGUGAAAUGCUUAGAUAUCACGAAGAACUCCGAUUGCGAAGGCAGUUCACUGGACUGCAACUGACACUGAGGCUCGAAAGUGUGGGUAUCAAACAGGAUUAGAUACCCUGGUAGUC